This 130-nucleotide non-coding RNA is filed under the name human gut metagenome. RNAcentral's name for it is "FMN riboswitch (RFN element)". It matches the Rfam family "FMN riboswitch aptamer (RFN element)". From Rfam's summary of the family: The RFN element is a highly conserved domain that is found frequently in the 5'-untranslated regions of prokaryotic mRNAs that encode for flavin mononucleotide (FMN) biosynthesis and transport proteins. The record is from RNAcentral.
GUUUCAGGGCGAGGUGCAAUUCCUCACCGGCGGUGAUAAGGCAAAUACGCUUUUUAGUCCGCGAACAUGCGUCCACGCAUGCCGAUGUGGUGAAAUUCCACGACCGACGGUAUAGUCCGGAUGAGAGAAA